GGGACAGUGGCCAAGUGGUAAGGUGUUGGCCUUGUGAAGCAAAGAUCAUGGGUUCAACCCCCAUCUGUGCCA
Molecule: non-coding RNA, 72 nt
Organism: Nanorana parkeri
Lineage: Eukaryota; Metazoa; Chordata; Amphibia; Anura; Dicroglossidae
Source: the annotation of a RefSeq genome assembly